CUUGGUCAUUUAGAGGAAGUAAAAGUCGUAACAAGGUUUCCGUAGGUGAACCUGCGGAAGGAUCAUUAUUGUAAAACAGAGGGGGUGUCCUCCACCCUGCUCCGGCUUUGCGGCCGUGAGCGGGUGGUCGCGCCCCUUUCCACAACCAAACCCCUGUGCACAUCUCUGGGGACUUCUGGUGGGUUCGCGCCUGCCGAGUCCCUGGCUUUACACAAACUCUUCUAUGUCUAUAGAAUGUUCAAGGACCUCGCGUCCUGUUAACAAAUAACAACUUUCAACAACGGAUCUCUUGGCUCUCGCAUCGAUGAAGAACGCAGCGAAAUGCGAUAAGUAAUGUGAAUUGCAGAAUUCAGUGAAUCAUCGAAUCUUUGAACGCACCUUGCGCCCUUUGGUAUUCCGAUGGGCAUGCCUGUUUGAGUGUCUUGAAAUCAUCAAACCCCCGGUUUUGCGAUCGCGGGGCUUGGACUUGGGGGCUCUGCUGCCGCGAGGCGGCUCCCCCUAAAUGCAUCGGUCGGGCCUACUGGGGCUCCGUCACCUGGGCGUUGUAUUACCCUCGCUCUGCCGACGUGCCUCAGCUUUUGCGCGCCCGACCCCGACCUGCCUCUGGAGCGGCGGUCAACACUCUUUGAGAUCUGACCUCAAAUCAGGUAGGACUACCCGCUGAACUUAAGCAUAUCAAUAAGCGGAGGA
Molecule: ribosomal RNA, 690 nt
Filed under: uncultured Agaricomycotina
Lineage: Eukaryota; Fungi; Basidiomycota
Description: eukaryotic LSU rRNA
Rfam family: 5.8S ribosomal RNA (bases 270-423)
Source: RNAcentral